This 420-nucleotide ribosomal RNA is filed under the name uncultured bacterium. Its description in RNAcentral is "partial 16S ribosomal RNA". It matches the Rfam family "Bacterial small subunit ribosomal RNA", at positions 361 to 773 of the family's 1533-position model. The record is from RNAcentral.
AUUUUGGACAAUGGGGGCAACCCUGAUCCAGCCAUCCCGCGUGUGCGAUGAAGGCCUUCGGGUUGUACCGCACUUUUGGCAGGGAAGAAAAGCCGCGGGUAAAUACCCUGCGGGCCUGACGGUACCUGCAGAAAAAGCAACGCCUAACUACGUGCCAGCAGCCGCGGUAAUACGUAGGGUGCAAGCGUUAAUCGGAAUUACUGGGCGUAAAGCGUGCGCAGGCGGUUCGGCAAGAAGGAUGUGAAAUCCCAGGGCUUAACCUUGGAACUGCAUUCUUAACUGCCGGGCUAGAGUAUGUCAGAGGGGGGUAGAAUUCCGCGUGUAGCAGUGAAAUGCGUAGAGAUGCGGAGGAAUACCGAUGGCGAAGGCAGCCCCCUGGGAUAAUACUGACGCUCAUGCACGAAAGCGUGGGGAGCAAAC